GAUGAACGCUGGCGGCGUGCUUAACACAUGCAAGUCGAACGAAGCACUUUAUUUGAUUUCCUUCGGGACUGAUUAUUUUGUGACUGAGUGGCGGACGGGUGAGUAACGCGUGGGUAACCUGCCUUGUACAGGGGGAUAACAGUUGGAAACGGCUGCUAAUACCGCAUAAGCGCACAGCAUCGCAUGAUGCAGUGUGAAAAACUCCGGUGGUAUAAGAUGGACCCGCGUUGGAUUAGCUAGUUGGUGAGGUAACGGCCCACCAAGGCGACGAUCCAUAGCCGACCUGAGAGGGUGACCGGCCAAAAUGGGACUGAGACACGGCCCAAACUCCUACGGGAGGCAGCAGUGGGGAAUAUUGCACAAUGGGCGAAAGCCUGAUGAAGCGACGCCGCGUGAGCGAAGAAGUAUUUAGGUAUGUAAAGCUCUAUCAGCAGGGAAGAUAAUGACGGUACCCGACUAAGAAGCACCGGCUAAAUACGUG
RNAcentral lists this ribosomal RNA (481 nucleotides) under uncultured bacterium. RNAcentral's name for it is "partial 16S ribosomal RNA". It matches the Rfam family "Bacterial small subunit ribosomal RNA", at positions 28 to 507 of the family's 1533-position model. The record is from RNAcentral.